GCCCGGGUGGCGGAACGGCAGACGCGGGGGACUUAAAAUCCUCUGGGGAAAACCCGUGCGGGUUCGAAUCCCGCCCCGGGCACCA
Molecule: transfer RNA, 85 nt
Filed under: Pseudomonadota bacterium
Lineage: Bacteria; Pseudomonadati; Pseudomonadota
Also listed under: 1 other name
Description: tRNA-Leu
Rfam family: tRNA
About the family: Transfer RNA (tRNA) molecules are approximately 80 nucleotides in length. Their secondary structure includes four short double-helical elements and three loops (D, anti-codon, and T loops).
Source: RNAcentral